CCAGACUCCUACGGGAGGCAGCAGUUAAGAAUAUUCCGCAAUGGACGAAAGUCUGACGGAGCGACGCCGCGUGGAUGAAGAAUGCCGAAAGGUUGUAAAAUCCUUUUAAGCCUGAGGAAUAAGCACAGUAGGGAAUGAUUGUGUGGUGACUGUAGGGCUUGAAUAAGCACCGGCAAAUUACGUGCCAGCAGCCGCGGUAACACGUAAGGUGCGAGCGUUGUUCGGAAUUAUUGGGCGUAAAGGGCAUGUAGGCGGAUGAGCAAGCUUGGUGUGAAAUGCUACAGCUUAACUGUGGGACAGCAUUGAGAACUGCACAUCUUGAAUUACUGAAGGGUAACUAGAAUUCCACGUGUAGGGGUGAAAUCUGUAGAUAUGUGGAAGAAUACCAAUGGCGAAGGCAAGUUACCGGCAGAUAAUUGACGCUGAGGUGCGAAAGUGCGGGGAGCGAACAGGAUUAGAUACCCUGGUAGUCCGCACAGUAAACGAUGUACACUAGGUGUCUGGCAACAAAGCUGGGUGCCAAAGCAAACGUGGUAAGUGUACCGCCUGGGGAGUAUGCCCGCAAGGGUGAAACUCAAAGGAAUUGACGGGGGCCCGCACAAGAA
RNAcentral lists this ribosomal RNA (605 nucleotides) under uncultured bacterium. RNAcentral describes it as "bacterial SSU rRNA". It matches the Rfam family "Bacterial small subunit ribosomal RNA", at positions 331 to 931 of the family's 1533-position model. The record is from RNAcentral.